GGCGCUAUCGUCUAAUGGUUAGGACGGUUGGUUCUCAGCCAAUAAAUCAGGGUUCGAUUCCCUGUAGCGCUACCA
RNAcentral lists this transfer RNA (75 nucleotides) under Patescibacteria group bacterium. RNAcentral describes it as "tRNA-Glu". It matches the Rfam family "tRNA". From Rfam's summary of the family: Transfer RNA (tRNA) molecules are approximately 80 nucleotides in length. The record is from RNAcentral.